UUUGGUGCUGUCUAAGACUAAGCCAUGCACGUCUAAGUACAAACUAAAUGAUGGUGAAACUGCAAAUGGCUCAUUACAACGGUUAUGAUGUACCCGGGAGUUCCGAUGGAUAUUUCCAGUAACACUAGAACUAAUACAUGUCCCUGCGUUUAUUAGUUUCGCACAGUCCGUCGCUGAGUCAUGGUAAACAGUUGAUCGACUCGACGUCCCGGAACAGUUUCCGCCCCAUCAGCUUCGAUGGUUGGGUAUUGGCCUACCAUUGCAACAACGGGUAACGAGGAAUUAGGGUUUGAUUUCGGAGAGGGAGCCUGAGAAACGGCUACCACAUCUACGGAUGGCAGCAGGCGCGCAAAUUACCCAAUGCAGACACUGUGAGGUAGUGACGAGAAAUAAUAAAGCGGGACUUCUGUUUCGCUAUUAUAAUGAGGAAUAACCAAAGGUCAUUCCGAUUAGCAACUGAUGGGAAAGUCUGGUGCCAGCAGCCGCGGUAAUACCAGCGU
Molecule: ribosomal RNA, 500 nt
Filed under: uncultured Myrionecta
Lineage: Eukaryota; Ciliophora; Litostomatea; Cyclotrichida; Mesodiniidae
Description: SSU rRNA
Rfam family: Eukaryotic small subunit ribosomal RNA
Source: RNAcentral